RNAcentral lists this non-coding RNA (27 nucleotides) under Homo sapiens (human). Lineage: Eukaryota; Metazoa; Chordata; Mammalia; Primates; Hominidae. The record is from RNAcentral.
UCCAGGAGUGUUCAUGAAGGUGUUACA